GUGAGGAAUUUUGCGCAAUGGGGGCAACCCUGACGCAGCGACGCCGCGUGGAGGACGAAGUCUUUCGGGAUGUAAACUCCUGUCAGUGGGGACGAUAAUGACGGUACCCACAGAGGAAGCACCGGCUAACUCCGUGCCAGCAGCCGCGGUAAGACGGAGGGUGCAAGCGUUGUUCGGAAUUACUGGGCGUAAAGCGUAUGUAGGCGGCAAGUUAAGUUCAAUGUUAAAGCCCACGGCUCAACCGAGGAGAUGCAUUGAAUACUGGCUAGCUAGAGGGUGUUAGAGGAAGACGGAAUUCCCAGUGUAGCGAUGAAAUGCGUAGAUAUUGGGAGGAACAUCGGUAGCGAAAGCGGUCUUCUGGGACAUACCUGACGCUGAGGUACGAAAGCGUGGGGAGCAAACAGGAUUAGAAACCCUGGUAGUCC
This 425-nucleotide ribosomal RNA is filed under the name uncultured bacterium. RNAcentral's name for it is "bacterial SSU rRNA". It matches the Rfam family "Bacterial small subunit ribosomal RNA", at positions 354 to 796 of the family's 1533-position model. The record is from RNAcentral.